Long non-coding RNA from Oncorhynchus kisutch (coho salmon), 370 nucleotides. RefSeq lists it as uncharacterized. The transcript has 3 exons. Lineage: Eukaryota; Metazoa; Chordata; Actinopteri; Salmoniformes; Salmonidae. The record is from RefSeq and is a predicted model, not a curated record.
CCCCGCAAGUGACCAAAGUUCUUCAAGGCCGAGGGGGAAACGUUUGUGAAUUGUACCUCCACUUAAGAUGGCAAUCAAACUGCAUCUGGUUUCGACAGGGAUUCCCCGAGGGAAAGUGGCUAGUGGAAGGGCUGAGGGGGUAAAAAUAAAAUGCUUGGACUGCAGCCCUAUAGUACAUUUUAGGUAGGGGGAAUGGCGCGCUACAGUCACAGUCUGUACAUGAUCAUCACAUGGGGAUUUACUUCUUUACCGUACCCGAGCUGGCCUGAAACUCUUUCUAAAGACUGUUGCCAUCGAUUGGAAGCCAUAGGAUCUGAAAUCUGGGAGGACAGGAAAAUAGUCUAAUUCAUGCACUUAUCAACAGAAGAUC